GGACCUGACUGCUAUCGGAUUGAUACUAAGCCAUGUGAGUCUUUGUAGCAAUACAAGGCAUACGGCUCAGUAACACGUAGUCAAUCUAACCUAUGGACGGGGAUAACCUCGGGAAACUGAGAAUAAUACCCGAUAGAUCAUUAUGCCUGGAAUGGUUUAUGGUUCAAAUGAUUCGUUCGCCGUAGGAUGGGACUGCGACCUAUCAGUUUGUUGGUGAGGUAAUGGCCCACCAAGACUAUUACAGGUACGGGCUCUGAGAGGAGAAGCCUGGAGAUGGGUACUGAGACACGGACCCAGGCCCUAUGGGGCGCAGCAGGCGAGAAAACUUUGCAAUGUGCGAAAGCACGACAAGGUUAAUCCGAGUGGUUCCUGCUAAAGGAACCUUUUGUUAGUCGUAAAACCACUGAUGAAUAAGGGGUGGGCAAGUUCUGGUGUCAGCC
This 440-nucleotide ribosomal RNA is filed under the name uncultured archaeon. RNAcentral describes it as "bacterial SSU rRNA". It matches the Rfam family "Archaeal small subunit ribosomal RNA", at positions 19 to 463 of the family's 1478-position model. The record is from RNAcentral.